UUGAACGCUGGCGGCAGGCCUAACACAUGCCAGUCGCACGGUAACAGGAAGCAGCUUGCUGCUUUGCUGACGAGUGGCGGACGGGUGAGUAAUGUCUGGGAAACUGCCCGAUGGAGGGGGAUAACUACUGGAAACGGUAGCUAAUACCGCAUAACGUCGCAAGACCAAAGAGGGGGACCUUAGGGCCUCUUGCCAUCGGAUGUGCCCAGAUGGGAUUAGCUAGUAGGUGGGGUAACGGCUCACCUAGGCGACGAUCCCUAGCUGGUCUGAGAGGAUGACCAGCCACACUGGAACUGAGACACGGUCCAGACUCCUACGGGAGGCAGCAGUGGGGAAUAUUGCACAAUGGGCGCAAGCCUGAUGCAGCCAUGCCGCGUGUAUGAAGAAGGCCUUCGGGUUGUAAAGUACUUUCAGCGGGGAGGAAGGGAGUAAAGUUAAUACCUUUGCUCAUUGACGUUACCCGCAGAAGAAGCACCGGCUAACUCCGU
This 488-nucleotide ribosomal RNA is filed under the name uncultured bacterium. RNAcentral describes it as "partial 16S ribosomal RNA". It matches the Rfam family "Bacterial small subunit ribosomal RNA", at positions 30 to 506 of the family's 1533-position model. The record is from RNAcentral.